Molecule: ribosomal RNA, 422 nt
Filed under: Clostridioides difficile
Lineage: Bacteria; Bacillati; Bacillota; Clostridia; Peptostreptococcales; Peptostreptococcaceae
Description: bacterial SSU rRNA
Rfam family: Bacterial small subunit ribosomal RNA
Source: RNAcentral
CCUUACCUAAGCUUGACAUCCCAAUGACAUCUCCUUAAUCGGAGAGUUCCCUUCGGGGACAUUGGUGACAGGUGGUGCAUGGUUGUCGUCAGCUCGUGUCGUGAGAUGUUGGGUUAAGUCCCGCAACGAGCGCAACCCUUGUCUUUAGUUGCCAUCAUUAAGUUGGGCACUCUAGAGAGACUGCCAGGGAUAACCUGGAGGAAGGUGGGGAUGACGUCAAAUCAUCAUGCCCCUUAUGCUUAGGGCUACACACGGGCUACAAUGGGUAGUACAGAGGGUUGCCAAGCCGUAAGGUGGAGCUAAUCCCUUAAAGCUACUCUCAGUUCGGAUUGUAGGCUGAAACUCGCCUACAUGAAGCUGGAGUUACUAGUAAUCGCAGAUCAGAAUGCUGCGGUGAAUGCGUUCCCGGGUCUUGUACACAC